This is a transfer RNA of Clostridium sp. CAG:75, 87 nucleotides long. It matches the Rfam family "tRNA". From Rfam's summary of the family: Transfer RNA (tRNA) molecules are approximately 80 nucleotides in length. Lineage: Bacteria; Bacillati; Bacillota; Clostridia; Eubacteriales; Clostridiaceae. The record is from Rfam.
GGAGAGUUGUCCGAGAGGUCGAAGGUGCAUCACUCGAAAUGAUGUGUCGGUGAGAACUGACCGAGGGUUCGAAUCCCUCACUCUCCG